GAUGAAGAACGUAGCGAAAUGCGAUAACUAAUGUGAAUUGCAGAAUUCCGUGAAUCAUCGAGUCUUUGAACGCACAUUGCGCCCCCUGGUAUUCCGGGGGGCAUGCCUGUCCGAGCGUCAUUACAACCCUCAAGCCCGGCUUGUGUAAUGGGCGGCCGUCUCUCCCCCCGGGGGGAGACGCCCCCGAAACUCAGUGGGGAUGUCGCGAUACCGAAGCCUCAGCUAAUGGGUAAACCACAGCUGCAAUGGCCGCGGCCGGCGUCCGCCUUCCACGGUCCGUCCGCCUAGCGCGGGCGGCCUUCUCAAGGUUGACCUCGGAUCAGGUAGGGAUACCCGCUGAACUUAAGCAUAUCAUAAGCGGAGGA
This 365-nucleotide unclassified non-coding RNA is filed under the name soil metagenome. RNAcentral's name for it is "partial contains 5.8S ribosomal RNA, internal transcribed spacer 2, and large subunit ribosomal RNA". The stretch from base 1 to 120 matches the Rfam family "5.8S ribosomal RNA", at positions 35 to 154 of the family's 154-position model. The record is from RNAcentral.